This 236-nucleotide non-coding RNA is filed under the name Erysipelothrix larvae. RNAcentral describes it as "T-box sequence". It matches the Rfam family "T-box leader". From Rfam's summary of the family: Uncharged tRNA acts as the effector for transcription antitermination of genes in the T-box leader family. T-boxes are found upstream of many aminoacyl-tRNA synthetase genes and some amino acid biosynthetic genes usually in Gram-positive bacteria. Lineage: Bacteria; Bacillati; Bacillota; Erysipelotrichia; Erysipelotrichales; Erysipelotrichaceae. The record is from RNAcentral.
AUAAACUUAAUGAUUGAGACGAGUAAGUAUGGAAUCUAAAAUAGAGAGUACGUGGUUGGUGGAAACGUAUCUAGUGAACAUAGUGAAUGGACUCAUGAAAGGCAAAGCGAACACUCACGUAAGUAGCUUACUGACGGAAAGCUCCCGUUAUCGCAAGCAAAGGAUAUGAUAGUAUUCUUAUGAGCUACGAUUUAGUGUAGAAAAUUCAGGUGGUACCGCGAAACCUCGCCCUGUUG